CAGUAGCCGCGGGAAUACGAAGGUCCCGAGCGUUGUUCGGAAUCACUGGGCGUAAAGGGAGCGUAGGCGGCGUGGUAAGUCAGAUGUGAAAUCCCGGGGCUCAACCCCGGAACUGCAUCCGAUACUGCUAUGCUAGAGGAUUGGAGAGGUAGCUGGAAUUCUUGGUGUAGCAGUGAAAUGCGUGGAGAUCAAGAGGAACACUCGUGGCGAAAGCGAGCUACUGGACAAUAUCUGACGCUGAGGCUCGAAGGCCAGGGUAGCGAAAGGGAUUAGAUACCCGGGUAGUCCCUGUCUCUUAUAC
Molecule: ribosomal RNA, 301 nt
Filed under: uncultured bacterium
Lineage: Bacteria
Description: partial 16S ribosomal RNA
Rfam family: Bacterial small subunit ribosomal RNA
Source: RNAcentral